GAUGAACGCUGGCGGCGUGCCUAAUACAUGCAAGUCGAGCGAACAGACGAGGAGCUUGCUCCUCUGACGUUAGCGGCGGACGGGUGAGUAACACGUGGAUAACCUACAUAUAAGGAUAGGAUAAGUUCGGGAAACCGGAGCUAAUACAGGAUAAGAUAGUGAACGGCAUGGUUCAUUAGUCAAAGCGGUUUUUGCUGACACUAAUAGAUGGAACCGGGCCGCAUUAGCUAGUUGGUAAGGUAACGGCUUACCAAGGCAACGAUGCGUAGCCGACCUGAGAGGGUGAUCGGCCACACUGGAACUGAGACACGGUCCAGACUCCUACGGGAGGCAGCAGUAGGGAAUCUUCCACAAUGGGCGAAAGCCUGACGGAGCAACGCCGCGUGAGUGAUGAAGGUCUUCGGAUCGUAAAACUCUGUUAUUAGGGAAGAACAAAUGUGUAAGUAACUAUGCACGUCUUGACGGUACCUAAUCAGAAAGCCACGGCUAACUACGUG
This 497-nucleotide ribosomal RNA is filed under the name uncultured bacterium. RNAcentral describes it as "partial 16S ribosomal RNA". It matches the Rfam family "Bacterial small subunit ribosomal RNA", at positions 28 to 507 of the family's 1533-position model. The record is from RNAcentral.